UAGGCGUAACUUCCUUAAGGACUGGUGUGGACAUGUCCCCACCAAUCUUGACCGGUAGGGGGACAGUCCCCACCAAUAUUUUGUACAUGUAUUUUACUUUCGGUGCUGUGUAUAUCUGAUUAAAACUCCAUUCAGGCCGCUCCUCAGAAAGAAAAUAAAAAAGUCCUCCCCGCUGCUCACCGUCCGCAAACCCCGACCAAAAAAAAAAAAAACUUCGCCGCUCCUCAGGAAAAAAAAAAUUGUUGCCUCUCGCUUUCUUCACCAAACAGCAGCAACGUGUAAGUUUUUUUGGGCGAAUUAAAAUGAGUAACAAAACAUGACAGCAUUUAAUGCAGGUUAUUCUUCUUUCUAACAGGGAACAAAUGUAAUUCAGAUCGCUUCCUCAGUGGAAGAUGCUGCGGGUUUUCAGCAGGCCACAAGCAUGCUAACCGAUUCAGGGAUAGCAGUGGACUCAGACUUGCAGGUGAGAGGGACUUGUGGAAAUAUUAAGACCUAAUUUUACUCAGGAGAGACUUAAAGUAGUAAAAGAAUAGAGAAUAGUGUAAAAAUAAGUGAAUACCUUAUUUAAAAUAUAACUGAACCGUUGGAAAAAAAAAA
Molecule: long non-coding RNA, 597 nt
Organism: Fundulus heteroclitus (mummichog)
Lineage: Eukaryota; Metazoa; Chordata; Actinopteri; Cyprinodontiformes; Fundulidae
Exons: 2
Source: RefSeq, a predicted model, not a curated record